This 117-nucleotide ribosomal RNA is filed under the name Bifidobacterium sp. Lineage: Bacteria; Bacillati; Actinomycetota; Actinomycetes; Bifidobacteriales; Bifidobacteriaceae. The record is from RNAcentral. RNAcentral also lists the same sequence under 1 other name.
UGCGGUGAUGAUAGCGAGGAGGAUACACCUGUUCCCAUACCGAACACAGAAGUUAAGCUCCUUAGCGCUGAUGAUACUUGGCGGGAGACCGCCUGGGAAAGUAGGACGUUGCCGCUU